This 30-nucleotide non-coding RNA is filed under the name Rattus norvegicus (Norway rat). Lineage: Eukaryota; Metazoa; Chordata; Mammalia; Rodentia; Muridae. The record is from RNAcentral.
AAACNCGUUAAGGUGUAUACAUGGGCAGUC